GAGAGGAUCGCCAAGACAAGCAUUGGUCGCUGAGCCGAGCCGAGCCGAGCCUAGGAUUUGCCGUGUGGGUGGGGAAAUCUUUCGCCCUGCGACGGGGCGGUAAUGGUCUGGAGUAUAAGCCAAUGGGGCUUUAAUCUCCAUCUUCUUU
RNAcentral lists this transfer RNA (148 nucleotides) under Pyrenophora tritici-repentis. RNAcentral's name for it is "tRNA-Ser". The record is from RNAcentral. Lineage: Eukaryota; Fungi; Ascomycota; Dothideomycetes; Pleosporales; Pleosporaceae.